This 246-nucleotide ribosomal RNA is filed under the name uncultured bacterium. RNAcentral's name for it is "partial small subunit ribosomal RNA". It matches the Rfam family "Bacterial small subunit ribosomal RNA", at positions 26 to 285 of the family's 1533-position model. The record is from RNAcentral.
AGAAUCAACGCUGGCGGCGUGCCUAACACAUGCAAGUCGCACGAGAAAGGGUAGCAAUACCGUGAGUAAAGUGGCGCACGGGUGAGUAACACGUGACUAACCUACCCUGGAGUGGGGGAUAACUGAGGGAAACCUUAGCUAAUACCGCAUAACACCUACGGGUCAAAGGAGCAAUUCGCUUCAGGAGGGGGUCGCGGCCGAUUAGUUAGUUGGCGGGGUAAUGGCCCACCAAGACGAUGAUCGGUA